CUCAGAUUGAACGCUGGCGGCAGGCCUAACACAUGCAAGUCGAACGGCAGCACAGAAGAGCUUGCUCUUUGGGUGGCGAGUGGCGGACGGGUGAGUAAUGUCUGGGAAACUGCCCGAUGGAGGGGGAUAACUACUGGAAACGGUAGCUAAUACCGCAUAACGUCGCAAGACCAAAGUGGGGGACCUUCGGGCCUCACACCAUCGGAUGUGCCCAGAUGGGAUUAGCUAGUAGGUGGGGUAAUGGCUCACCUAGGCGACGAUCCCUAGCUGGUCUGAGAGGAUGACCAGCCACACUGGAACUGAGACACGGUCCAGACUCCUACGGGAGGCAGCAGUGGGGAAUAUUGCACAAUGGGCGCAAGCCUGAUGCAGCCAUGCCGCGUGUAUGAAGAAGGCCUUCGGGUUGUAAAGUACUUUCAGCGGGGAGGAAGGCGGUGAGGUUAAUAACCUUGCCGAUUGACGUUACCCGCAGAAGAAGCACCGGCUAACUCCGUGCCAGCAGCCGCGGUAAUACGGAGGGUGCAAGCGUUAAUCGGAAUUACUGGGCGUAAAGCGCACGCAGGCGGUCUGUUAAGUCAGAUGUGAAAUCCCCGGGCUUAACCUGGGAACUGCAUUUGAAACUGGCAGGCUUGAGUCUCGUAGAGGGGGGUAGAAUUCCAGGUGUAGCGGUGAAAUGCGUAGAGAUCUGGAGGAAUACCGGUGGCGAAGGCGG
Molecule: ribosomal RNA, 712 nt
Filed under: Pantoea dispersa
Lineage: Bacteria; Pseudomonadati; Pseudomonadota; Gammaproteobacteria; Enterobacterales; Erwiniaceae
Description: bacterial SSU rRNA
Rfam family: Bacterial small subunit ribosomal RNA
Source: RNAcentral